AUCCUGGCUCAGGAUGAACGCUAGCGACAGGCUUAACACAUGCAAGUCGAGGGGCAGCGAGGGCGUAGCAAUACGCCUGUCGGCGACCGGCGCACUGGUGAGUAACACGUAUGCGACCUGCCCCCUACAGGGGUAUAACCCGUAGAAAUGCGGACUAAUCCCCCAUAGUCCUGGGUGCUGCAUGGCAUUCAGGGGAAAGGUCAGCCGGUAGGGGAUGGGGAUGCGUCCGAUUAGCUUGACGGCGGGUAACGGCCCACCGUGGCGACGAUCGGUAGGGGGUUCUGAGAGGAAGGUCCCCCACAUUGGAACUGAGACACGGUCCAAACUCCUACGGGAGGCAGCAGUGAGGAAUAUUGGUCAAUGGGCGAGAGCCUGAACCAGCCAAGUAGCGUGCAGGAUGACGGCCCUAUGGGUUGUAAACUGCUUUUAUGCGGGGAUAAAGUGUACCAUGUAUGGUGUUUUGCAGGUACCGCAUGAAUAAGGACCGGCUAAUUCCGUG
Molecule: ribosomal RNA, 499 nt
Filed under: uncultured bacterium
Lineage: Bacteria
Description: bacterial SSU rRNA
Rfam family: Bacterial small subunit ribosomal RNA
Source: RNAcentral